UACGUAGGGUGCAAGCGUUGUCCGGAAUUAUUGGGCGUAAAGAGCUCGUAGGCGGUCUGUCACGUCUGCUGUGAAAACUCGGGGCUCAACCCCGGGCCUGCAGUGGGUACGGGCAGACUAGAGUGCGGUAGGGGAGACUGGAAUUCCUGGUGUAGCGGUGAAAUGCGCAGAUAUCAGGAGGAACACCGGUGGCGAAGGCGGAUCUCUGGGCCAUUACUGACGCUGAGGAGCGAAAGCGUGGGGAGCGAACAGG
RNAcentral lists this ribosomal RNA (253 nucleotides) under uncultured bacterium. RNAcentral's name for it is "partial 16S ribosomal RNA". It matches the Rfam family "Bacterial small subunit ribosomal RNA", at positions 524 to 776 of the family's 1533-position model. The record is from RNAcentral.